UGAAUGGCUUGACGAAGAAAUCAACUGUCUCUUAAUAAUUUUUAAAAUUUAACUUUUGAGUCAAAAGGCUUAAAUUUUUCUUUAGGACGAGAAGACCCUAUAGAGCUUAACAUUUUAUUUUUAUAUAGUUUUUAGUUGAUCUUUCUAUAUUUAAUGAUAAUGUUUUGUUGGGGUGACAUGAAGAAUAAUUAAACUCUUCAUUAUAAAAUCAUUGAUUUAUGUUUAUCAUGAUCCAUAAUUUAUGAUCAUAAGAUUAAGUUACCUUAGGGAUAACAGCGUAAUUGUUUUCGAGAGCUCAUAUCGACAAAGCAGAUUGCGACCUC
Molecule: ribosomal RNA, 323 nt
Filed under: Calliptamus barbarus
Lineage: Eukaryota; Metazoa; Arthropoda; Insecta; Orthoptera; Acrididae
Description: partial 16S ribosomal RNA
Rfam family: Bacterial large subunit ribosomal RNA (bases 55-323)
Source: RNAcentral